GAACACCUGGGUCUGUCGGCCGGUGUUAUCCAUAGGGAGCGUGCGUAUAUGGUAAUUACAUUGAGUAAAGCUCAGUUGGGUGGCUGGGUAAGGUGGAUGUGAAAUCCCCGGGCUGAACUUGGGAAGUGCAUUCAAGACUGCCUUGCUAGAGUGUGGAAGAGGGAAGCGGAAUUCCAUGGUUAGCGGUGAAAUGCGUAGAUAUCUGUAUGAACAUCAGUGGCGAAGGCGGCUUCCUGGUCCAACACUGACACUGAGGUGCGAAAGCGUGGGGAGCAAACAGGAUUAGAUACCCCAGUAGUC
This 300-nucleotide ribosomal RNA is filed under the name uncultured Enterococcus sp. RNAcentral describes it as "bacterial SSU rRNA". It matches the Rfam family "Bacterial small subunit ribosomal RNA", at positions 495 to 795 of the family's 1533-position model. Lineage: Bacteria; Bacillati; Bacillota; Bacilli; Lactobacillales; Enterococcaceae. The record is from RNAcentral.